This 670-nucleotide ribosomal RNA is filed under the name Panaeolus foenisecii. RNAcentral's name for it is "eukaryotic LSU rRNA". It matches the Rfam family "Eukaryotic large subunit ribosomal RNA", at positions 1 to 660 of the family's 3401-position model. The record is from RNAcentral. Lineage: Eukaryota; Fungi; Basidiomycota; Agaricomycetes; Agaricales.
CAAAUCAGGUAGGACUACCCGCUGAACUUAAGCAUAUCAAUAAGCGGAGGAAAAGAAACUAACAAGGAUUCCCCUAGUAACUGCGAGUGAAGCGGGAAAAGCUCAAAUUUAAAAUCUGGCAGUCUUUGAUUGUCCGAGUUGUAAUCUAGAGAAGCAUUAUCCGCGCUGGACCGUGUACAAGUCUCCUGGAAUGGAGCGUCAUAGAGGGUGAGAAUCCCGUCUUUGACACGGACUGCCAGGGCUUUGUGAUGUGCUCUCAAAGAGUCGAGUUGUUUGGGAAUGCAGCUCAAAAUGGGUGGUAAAUUCCAUCUAAAGCUAAAUAUUGGCGAGAGACCGAUAGCGAACAAGUACCGUGAGGGAAAGAUGAAAAGAACUUUGGAAAGAGAGUUAAACAGUACGUGAAAUUGCUGAAAGGGAAACGCUUGAAGUCAGUCGCGUUGGCCGGGAAUCAACCUUGCUUUUGCUGGGCGUACUUCCUGGUUAACGGGUCAGCAUCAAUUUUGACCGUUGGAUAAAGUUGUAGGGAAUGUGGCAUCUUCGGAUGUGUUAUAGCCCUGCUUCGCAUACAACGAUUGGGAUUGAGGAACUCAGCACGCCGCAAGGCCGGGUUUUUAACCACGUUCGUGCUUAGGAUGCUGGCAUAAUGGCUUUAAUCGACCCGUCUUGAAAC